AUGAACGCUGGCGGCGUGCUUAACACCUGCAAGUCGAACGGAAAGGCCCAAGCUUGCUUGGGUACUCGAGUGGCGAACGGGUGAGUAACACGUGGGUGAUCUGCCCUGCACUUCGGGAUAAGCCUGGGAAACUGGGUCUAAUACCGGAUAGGACCACUUCUUGGAUGUUGUGGUGGAAAGUUUUUUCGGUGUGGGAUGAGCUCGCGGCCUAUCAGCUUGUUGGUGGGGUAAUGGCCUACCAAGGCGUCGACGGGUAGCCGGCCUGAGAGGGUGUACGGCCACAUUGGGACUGAGAUACGGCCCAGACUCCUACGGGAGGCAGCAGUGGGGAAUAUUGCACAAUGGGCGCAAGCCUGAUGCAGCGACGCCGCGUGGGGGAUGACGGCCUUCGGGUUGUAAACGCCUUUCGCUAGGGACGAAGCGUUUUGUGACGGUACCUGGAGAAGAAGCACCGGCUAACUACGUG
RNAcentral lists this ribosomal RNA (466 nucleotides) under uncultured bacterium. Its description in RNAcentral is "partial 16S ribosomal RNA". It matches the Rfam family "Bacterial small subunit ribosomal RNA", at positions 29 to 507 of the family's 1533-position model. The record is from RNAcentral.